UAGAACAUGAUACAUGACAGUCA
This 23-nucleotide microRNA is filed under the name Glycine max (soybean). Its description in RNAcentral is "gma-miR1520a". Lineage: Eukaryota; Viridiplantae; Streptophyta; Magnoliopsida; Fabales; Fabaceae. The record is from miRBase by way of RNAcentral.